AUUCCGAUUGUUGUCGACACUUGCAAUCGGCCGCCCGCGGCACCCGGCACCCGGUUUGGCCCGAUCUCCCAUGCGACCACCCGAACGGCCUCUAAUUCACGAUCCGAAAAUUAAAGGUCUUCGGUUAUGUGCCACGAUGCUUCAAAUCCAUUUUCAUGAAUUUACGGUAUCGCCUCGGCCCUCCCGGCGGACCCGAAGCCUAAACAUCCAUUUCUUUAAUAACUUUGUAACGGCUCGUCGGAUUGCCGAACCGUCUUCGCCAACGCGUUCGUUUACCUAGCAAUUAGGUUUACGAAGGGUCAAAUGAGAUCAAACCCUCAUAUUUUGAAAGUUUGCAUUUUGGAGCCCUAGGUUACAACUAUGCAAGAAAUCACUAAAUUGAUCCAUGAUUCAAGCAUUAAUCAUCUAGAUAGUAUGCUAGGACUCUUCUAAAUCCAUUUAUAAGGUAUUUAAACCAAGCAUUAAAGAUCUACCAUUAAAGCCCUCAUUUUGGAGCUCUAGGUUUCACUAGGUAAAAACCCACCAUUAGAACCUUGAUUUCAAGCAUCAAACCUCUAAUUAGCAUGCUAGAAUACCUCUAAACCCAUUCUUAGAGCUUAAAAACCAAACUAGAGAGAAAUGCCAUUAAAGGGUUUUGAAGCUUACCUUGAAAGCUUGCUCUAAUGGAGAAGAAGAUGAUAAAAGAGAUGAAGAUCAACCUCCAAGCUCACUUCUCCUCCAAUUUCAUCAAUUUUGGGGGAGAUUUAGAGAGAGAAAGGAGAGCUCUCUUCCUCCCUCUCCUUGCGUGUGUGUGUGUGUGUGUGUCGUGUGUGGUGUGUGUGCGGCUGAAGGAGAAGAAGAAGCCAAGAGCUUCUUUAUAAUACCCCUCAAACACUAUUCACUCCCGGGCAGCUUAAAAUCUGAUAUCUUUCGCCGGAACUCCCUGAAUGUCCGUUUGAGCUCAAACUUGACAGUCAUGUUCGGUUUUACUUAAUUUAACAAGCUGACGAUCGCUGGUUCAGUUUCGACCCCGUUUGGUCACUGAAAACUGUACCGAACUGCAAUCUUUAACAGAUAGCUGUGGGAUUUUAUUUCCUACGCUACGGGUGUCAGAAAAAUACGAAACCUUAAAUCUAGCCUCAUAAAAAUAUUUCUGACAUCUCUGCCAAUUUUCAUAAUUUUCUGAGACUGUGCAUUUUCUGCUAAUUUAUCUGUCUCGUUUCCAACAGAAAAUUCUAGAUCUUCUGUUUUAAUUCCGAUUUCAGCACAAGUCACUUCUGACUUAUGUUUUACUUCUAUAAAUUCAAUAAAAAUAGUAUCUCACACUAUUUUUAUUUAUUUAUUAUUUUUAUACCAAAAUCUGGUAUGUUACACAAUGUUUCUAAGUGAUGUCCCAACACUCACUUGCUUAGUGCCCCUUUAUGACACUUAAGCAUCACACUGAUCAAGCUCAAUUCUUGUUCUAUAUUUCAUUUAAACAUUAAUACUAAUGACUACUAUAGCCCGGGCCCAAUGCCUCUUUAUGACAUUGGCCCAAUUCUCAAAUAGUCCAAGCUCUCAAGCCCUUUCUCGGCUUCUAAAAUUUCUAAUGUCCCCAUUGGCAUAUAGGUUAAAU
This 1594-nucleotide long non-coding RNA is filed under the name Ananas comosus (pineapple). Its description in RNAcentral is "long non-coding RNA (ACOM_LNC037040)". The record is from RNAcentral. Lineage: Eukaryota; Viridiplantae; Streptophyta; Magnoliopsida; Poales; Bromeliaceae.